This 477-nucleotide ribosomal RNA is filed under the name Trepobates subnitidus. Its description in RNAcentral is "partial 16S ribosomal RNA". The record is from RNAcentral. Lineage: Eukaryota; Metazoa; Arthropoda; Insecta; Hemiptera; Gerridae.
UUUUAAUCCAACAUCGAGGUCGCAAACUUAAUCAUUAAUGUGAACUCUCCGAUUAAAUUACGCUGUUAUCCCUAAGGUAAGUUAAACUUAUAAUCUAAAAAUUAGGAUCAAAUAGACAUAAAUUAAUGAAAAAAUAAAUAAGAGUUUAAUAAAUCUUACUGUCACCCCAACAAAAUAAUUCAUUCUAAAAAAAUAAUUAAAUUCAAAAAUAAAAUUUUUAUAAGAAUUAUAAACUUCUAUAGGGUCUUCUCGUCCUAUAGAAAAAUUUAAGCUUUUUAACUUAAAAAUUAAAUUCAAAAAAUUAUAAAAAAUAAAGUUUAUUUUAUGUCAAACCAUUCAUACUAGCCUCCAAUUAAAAGACAAAUGAUUAUGCUACCUUAGUACAGUUAAAAUACCGCAGCCUUUCAAUAUAUUAAAUCAACGGGCAGGACCGAUCUUAAAUAAAAUUCAAAAGACCAUGUUUUUGUUAAACAGGCG